Molecule: unclassified non-coding RNA, 148 nt
Organism: Callithrix jacchus (white-tufted-ear marmoset)
Lineage: Eukaryota; Metazoa; Chordata; Mammalia; Primates; Cebidae
Rfam family: Metazoan signal recognition particle RNA
About the family: The signal recognition particle (SRP) is a universally conserved ribonucleoprotein. It is involved in the co-translational targeting of proteins to membranes.
Source: Ensembl
GCUGGGCGUGGCAGUGCACGCCUGUAAUCCUAGUCAAUCUGGAGGCUGAGGCAGGAGAAUCACUUGAACCCGGGAAGCAGGGGUUGCAGUGAGCCGAGAUCGCACCACUGUACUCCAACCUGGGUAACAGAGUGAGAUUCUGUCUCAA